This 464-nucleotide ribosomal RNA is filed under the name uncultured bacterium. Its description in RNAcentral is "bacterial SSU rRNA". It matches the Rfam family "Bacterial small subunit ribosomal RNA", at positions 335 to 795 of the family's 1533-position model. The record is from RNAcentral.
ACUCCUACGGGAGGCAGCAGUGAGGAAUAUUGGUCAAUGGAGGCAACUCUGAACCAGCCAAGUCGCGUGAAGGAUGAAGGUCUUAUGGAUUGUAAACUUCUUUUGCAAGGGAAUAAAGUGGGGGACGUGUCCUCCUUUGCAUGUACCUUGCGAAUAAGGAUCGGCUAACUCCGUGCCAGCAGCCGCGGUAAUACGGAGGAUCCGAGCGUUAUCCGGAUUUAUUGGGUUUAAAGGGUGCGCAGGCGGGAUGUUAAGUCGGCGGUGAAAUUUUGCAGCUCAACUGUAAAAGUGCCUUCGAUACUGGCUUUCUUGAGUGUGGAUGAAGUAGGCGGAAUUUGUGGUGUAGCGGUGAAAUGCUUAGAUAUCACGAGGAACUCCGAUUGCGCAGGCAGCUUACUAAACCACUACUGACGCUCAUGCACGAAGGCGUGGGGAUCAAACAGGAUUAGAUACCCUGGUUAGUC